RNAcentral lists this long non-coding RNA (1067 nucleotides) under Sus scrofa (pig). RNAcentral describes it as "lncRNA (ENSSSCG00060031382.1)". Lineage: Eukaryota; Metazoa; Chordata; Mammalia; Artiodactyla; Suidae. The record is from RNAcentral.
GUGGAGUGUGUUCUGAGAGGGCCAGGCCACACUUAAGGCCUUGUUUCCCCAAAAUGACUCUUAGGUGGUGCUCUGGAUGAGCUCUCCGAGUUUUAGUAGUGUUUAUUUUAUUAUUAUUUUUAAAAAUUUACUUAUUUAUUAUUAUUUUUUAAGGCUGCACCUGCAGCAUACGGAAGUUCCUAGGGAUUGAAUCGGAGCUGCAGCUGCUGGCCUACACCACAGCUACAGCAACGCCGAAUCCUUAACCCACUGAGCGACACCAGGGAUUGAACCCACGUCCUCAUGGAUACUACUCAGGUUUGNUAACCCACUGAGCGACGCCAGGGAUUGAACCCACGUCCUCAUGGAUGCUACUCAGGUUUAUUUCUGCUGUGCCACAACGGAAACCCCAGUAGAGUUUUUCUUCAUGUGCCACAGAAAAAUACCACCUGUAUAUUGGCCGAAUUUAUAGAUUCUUUAGGGCCUGUCUAAAGUGUACAUUUGAAUUAGUGUCAAACUGAAAACUCUUGAGUAAGAAAUAGGAAAGUGGCCAGUAUGUGUGACAAAAAUAUGGGGGUUUGCUAUGACUGGGGUUUGGUCAGCAUUCCUGUGGACAAGACGGUGAAGGGGAAGAGAAGUCUCAGCCACUGACAGAAUUUCUCCAUAAUAGAAUAGGGAGAUGGAGGCAGGGGAGAAGGUGAGACCUGGCUGUAGGAGCUGAGAGAACAGGCCUGGUGGCUUUUCAGGGUGGUGGCUCUGCACUUCCCCAUCAGAGUCACCUGGAGGACGUGUUGCAGCAGAGCUGGGCCUUUCCCCUGGAGUUCCUGAUUCACUUGUUCUGAGAACCAGGAAUCUGCAUUUCUAACUUCCUGGGUGAUACCAAUAACUGCUGGACAGGACAACACCGAACUGCUGAUGGAGAGGUGGCAGUGGGUCACAGCACACCUCAAUUUGGAUAAACUACAUCUCAAGUUCUCUGUAGCCUCCACGACCCUGUUCUACCUGCUGCCUUCCAGGAUGAGAACAUCCAGGAGAGAACUUGCUGGCUUGUAGGGUAGAUGAAUGUUUAGCUGGAUUUCUACUCACAA